CCGGCAACUUGAGAACACAUUGUU
RNAcentral lists this non-coding RNA (24 nucleotides) under Arabidopsis thaliana (thale cress). The record is from RNAcentral. Lineage: Eukaryota; Viridiplantae; Streptophyta; Magnoliopsida; Brassicales; Brassicaceae.